ACCAGCAGCCAUAUCACUCUGCAACUCACAACUGGCAACCCACUGAAGCUAAGCAGGUGUGAGCCUGAUCAGUACCUGGAAGAGAGACUUCCUGGGAAAAACAAAGGUUGCUGCUGGAA
This 119-nucleotide ribosomal RNA is filed under the name Lepisosteus oculatus (spotted gar). Lineage: Eukaryota; Metazoa; Chordata; Actinopteri; Semionotiformes; Lepisosteidae. The record is from RNAcentral.